RNAcentral lists this transfer RNA (69 nucleotides) under Hanleyella oldroydi. RNAcentral's name for it is "tRNA-Met". The record is from RNAcentral. Lineage: Eukaryota; Metazoa; Mollusca; Polyplacophora; Lepidopleurida; Lepidopleuridae.
AGUAAAAUAAGCUAAAAUCCAAGCUAUCGGGUUCAUACCUCGAAUAUGAGAUUCUACUCUCUUUUAUUA